Molecule: unclassified non-coding RNA, 94 nt
Filed under: soil metagenome
Description: partial internal transcribed spacer 1
Source: RNAcentral
GAAAUGGCACUGCCUUUCUCCUGUUUAUCUUUUUAGAAUCGGCGCAAGCCGACAAUACUCUGUAUUAAGUUGUCUGAGUCAGUUAAAAUUAUCA